UACGAAGGGGACUAGCGUUGUUCGGAAUCACUGGGCGUAAAGCGCACGUAGGCGGAUGUGUCAGUCAGGGGUGAAAUCCCGGGGCUCAACCUCGGAACUGCCUUUGAUACAGCACGUCUCGAGUCCGGAAGAGGUGGGUGGAAUUCCUAGUGUAGAGGUGAAAUUCGUAGAUAUUAGGAAGAACACCGGUGGCGAAGGCGGCCCACUGGUCCGGUACCGACGCUGAGGUGCGAAAGCGUGGGGAGCAAACAGG
RNAcentral lists this ribosomal RNA (253 nucleotides) under uncultured bacterium. RNAcentral describes it as "partial 16S ribosomal RNA". It matches the Rfam family "Bacterial small subunit ribosomal RNA", at positions 524 to 776 of the family's 1533-position model. The record is from RNAcentral.